Carlito syrichta (Philippine tarsier) is the source of this 578-nucleotide RNA transcript. It is a transcript of the gene named SWI/SNF-related matrix-associated actin-dependent regulator of chromatin subfamily E member 1 pseudogene, with no coding region annotated. The record is from RefSeq and is a predicted model, not a curated record. The transcript has a single exon. NCBI's taxonomy places the organism in Eukaryota, Metazoa, Chordata, Mammalia, Primates, Tarsiidae.
UCUGCCCGCAGUGUCUCAGAUUCAUUCUUAAGGAACUGAGAACUUAAUCUUCCAAAAUGUCAACAAAGACCAUCCCACCCCAGCUCCUGCAACACAAAUGCCCAGCACACCAGGGUUUGUGGGAUACAAUCCAUACAGUCAUCUUGCCUACAACUACAGGCUGGGAGGGAACCUGGGCACCAACAGCCGGGUCACGGCGUCCUCUGGUAUUACAAUUCCAAAACCCCCAAAGCCACCAGAUAAGCCACUGAUGCCCUACAUGAGGUACAGCAGAAAGGUCUGGGGCCAAGUAAAGGCUUCCAGUCCUGACCUAAAGUGGGAAACAGGCAAGAUUAUUGGCGGCAUGUGGCAAGAUCUCACUGAUGAAGAGAAACAAGAAUAUUUAAACGAGUACAAAGCAGAAAAGAUAGAGUACAAUGAAGCUAUUAAGGUCUAUCAUAAUUUCCCCGCAUACCUUGCUUACAUAAAUGCAAAAAGUAGUGCAGAAGCCGCUUUAGAGGAAAAAAGUCAACAGAGACAGUCUCGCAUGGAGAAAGAAGAACCUUACAUGAGCAUUCAGCCUGCUGAAGAUAUAGACG